This 282-nucleotide unclassified non-coding RNA is filed under the name Hevea brasiliensis (rubber tree). Lineage: Eukaryota; Viridiplantae; Streptophyta; Magnoliopsida; Malpighiales; Euphorbiaceae. The record is from RNAcentral.
GGACCGGCUAAGCACAAACUACUCAGGCGGAGUUUAUAAAUUUAACAAUAAACUAGCAUAAAUAUAAAUUUCUUCAAUGAAUAAGCUAAAAAUAGCAAAAAAACAAAAUUAAAUAACUCACCUUUUGCAAGAAACAAAUCUGUAAAACUAGAAAGGUCGUUGAUGAGAGAAGAAGUAAAAGAUUUGUAAAAAGAUAGAAAAGUUUAAAUGAAAAUUUGAGAGAGUAAGAGACAACAGCUGAAAACACUUGAGACCAAAAAAAGAAAAAGAGAGAGAGAGAGA